GAUGCAUCCCAGUGAUGUUGGUUAUGCUGGUGGCCAUGCGAUGAACACUUACCAGCCAUUCAGUGGACCUAGGGUAAUGCCUGGAAGCUAUGAAGAGGAAGGCGUACGUAUAUCAUGACAAUUUAUUUCCUAGCAAGCCAACCUUGAGCAUUUUGUUGCUUCAUCCAUUGCUAAUGACAUAUCUUUUGUAGUACGAAGCUGAGGAGGCCAGGUUUUUUUUUUUUGAGGGUGAGGAGGCCAGGUUGAGAAGUACUUUACAGUGCCUUGAUGAUCCAGAGAUGAUGGAAGGACCACCGAAACCGUCUAAAUUCUGGAACAGUCUUGUUAAGGUAUACAUUGAACCACCGGGAUACUCGGACCGAGACCGUGUACCACCAGGAUUCCCGGGCAGUGGACACAAUGCACCCCCGGCCCCGCCUGCACAAUACUUUGGGGUUGGCAGUGGUGCCAGGUCUCUCGGGGUUGUCUUCUUCAGAAGCCAUGGGUUUUAUUGUAGAAUCUGGUUAAAUUCGAGACUACUGUAACAUGCAUUUGAAUACUGUAUACUCUUUGAGCGACAAAUGUCUUUCAUCAAGACGGAGUGACGGAUUCCAUUUUGGCAGCCUGAAUAUGGCGCCAAGUGCUCUUAAUAUACUUAUUAUCUACAAAAAGUAUUGAAUGGGGUGGACAAUUUGCCA
This is a non-coding RNA of Aegilops tauschii subsp. strangulata, 677 nucleotides long. Lineage: Eukaryota; Viridiplantae; Streptophyta; Magnoliopsida; Poales; Poaceae. The record is from RefSeq and is a predicted model, not a curated record.